CAGUAGCCACGGUAAUACGUAGGUGGCAAGCGUUGUCCGGAAUUAUUGGGCGCAAAGGGCUCGCAGGCGGUUUCUUAAGUCUGAUGUGAAAGCCCCCGGCUCAACCGGGGAGGGUCAUUGGAAACUGGGAAACUUGAGUGCAGAAGAGGAGAGUGGAAUUCCACGUGUAGCGGUGAAAUGCGUAGAGAUGUGGAGGAACACCAGUGGCGAAGGCGACUCUCUGGUCUGUAACUGACGCUGAGGAGCGAAAGCGUGGGGAGCGAACAGGAUUAGAUACCCCCGUAGUCCCUGUCUCUUAUAC
RNAcentral lists this ribosomal RNA (301 nucleotides) under uncultured bacterium. RNAcentral's name for it is "partial 16S ribosomal RNA". It matches the Rfam family "Bacterial small subunit ribosomal RNA", at positions 509 to 807 of the family's 1533-position model. The record is from RNAcentral.